UUACAUAGUUGCCUAGAGAUGGCGAAUUUGCAAAUCACUGGAAUUCUAGAAAAGAUGACGGGUAAGGAUAAAGAUUACAGAUAUAUGGCGACAUCUGACUUGCUUAAUGAGUUAAAUAAGGAAACAUUCAAAGCUGAUGCUGAUUUGGAGAUAAAGUUGUCAACUAUUGUUCUGCAGCAACUUGAUGAUGUAGCUGGCGAUGUUUCUGGAUUGGCUGUGAAGUGUCUUGCUCCAUUGGUGAAGAAAGUAAGCGAGGCACGAGUUGUGGAGAUGACUAAUAAAUUAUGUGAUAAAUUGCUCAAUGGCAAAGAUCAGCACCGUGACAUUGCAAGCAUAGCUUUGAAGACAAUCGUGUGUGAAGUCACAACCCAAUCUCUUGCUCAAUCCAUUCUUGUUUCUUUACCUCCACAGCUUAUAAAAGGAAUAACUAGUCCGGGGAUGAGCACAGAGAUAAAAUGUGAAUGUCUUGAUAUUUUAUGUGAUGUCCUCCAUAAAUUUGGAAAUUUGAUGGCAACUGACCAUGAGUUGCUUUUAAAUGCACUUCUAUCCCAAUUGAAUUCCAAUCAAGCCACUGUAAGAAAGAAGACUGUUUCUUGUCUUGCAUCUCUUGCUUCAAGCUUGUCAGAUGAUCUGUUGGCAAAGGCAACUAUUGAAGUUGUUCGAAACUUGAGAAGUAAGGGUGUAAAGCCUGAAAUGACCCGUACAAACAUUCAAAUGAUUGGUGCUUUAAGCCGUGCUGUGGGAUACCGGUUUGGACCUCAUCUUGGAGAUACUGUGCCAGUUUUGAUUAAUUACUGCACUAGUGCAUCAGAGAAUGAUGAGGAGCUUCGUGAAUAUAGCUUGCAGGCGCUAGAAAGUUUUCUGCUCAGGUGCCCCAGGGACAUAUCUUCUUAUUGUGAUGAAAUUCUUCAUCUUACUCUAGAAUACCUAAGUUAUGAUCCAAACUUCACUGAUAACAUGGAAGAGGAUACGGAUGAGGAGAGUCAUGAAGAGGAGGAAGAUGAUGAGAGUGCAAAUGAAUAUACUGAUGAUGAGGAUGUUAGCUGGAAAGUUCGAAGAGCAGCAGCUAAAUGCUUGGCAGCAUUAAUUGUAUCUCGUCCUGAACUGCUUUCAAAGCUAUAUGAGGAGGCCUGCCCUAAACUGAUUGACAGAUUUAAAGAAAGGGAAGAAAAUGUAAAGAUGGAUGUAUUCAAUACAUUCAUUGAGUUACUACGUCAAACUGGAAAUGUUACAAAAGGGCAGAUUGACAUGAAUGAAUCAAGCCCAAGAUGGCUACUGAAGCAGGAAGUGCCGAAGGUUGUUAAAUCUAUAAAUAGGCAGCUUCGAGAGAAAUCUAUCAAGACAAAGGUUGGUGCAUUUUCUGUUCUGAAAGAACUUGUGGUUGUCUUGCCAGACUGCCUAGCAGAACAUAUUGGAUCACUCAUUCCAGGAAUUGAAAAGGCAUUAAACGACAAAUCAUCAACCUCAAAUUUGAAGAUUGAAGCUCUUAUAUUUACUAGACUGGUAUUGGCUUCACAUUCUCCUUCUGUUUUCCACCCGCAUAUCAAGGCUCUUUCUAGUCCUGUUUUAUCAGCUGUUGGUGAGCGUUACUACAAGGUAACUGCAGAGGCAUUAAGAGUAUGUGGGGAACUUGUUCGCAUUGUGCGUCCAAAUAUUCAGGGCUUGGGUUUUAACUUCACACCUUACGUUCAUCCAAUAUAUAAUGCCAUAAUGUCACGACUGACAAACCAAGACCAAGACCAGGAAGUUAAGGAAUGUGCUAUUUCUUGCAUGGGGCUCGUCAUUUCAACAUUUGGUGACAACCUCAGAGCAGAGUUACCUGCAUGCCUUCCUGUACUUGUUGAUCGGAUGGGGAAUGAAAUAACACGCCUUACAGCGGUAAAGGCUUUUGCUGUCAUCGCUGCUUCUCCUCUUCGGAUUGAUCUAUCUUGCGUUUUGGCGCAUGUAAUUGCAGAGUUAACAGCAUUCCUGCGGAAAGCCAAUCGGGCUCUAAGGCAGGCAACAUUGGGGACACUAAAUUCCUUGAUUGUGGCUUAUGGUGAUCAGAUUGGUUCAUCCGCUUAUGAAGUUAUUAUUGUUGAACUUUCAACUCUGAUAAGUGAUUCAGACUUGCACAUGACAGCACUUGCCCUGGAACUCUGUUGCACUUUGAUGGCGGACAGGAGGUCAAGCCCAAAUGUUGGUUUGGCUGUUAGAAAUAAAGUUCUUUCCCAGGCGCUAACAUUAAUCAAAAGCUCGUUGCUACAGGGUCAAGCCCUUUUGGCUUUGCAAAACUUCUUUGCUGCAUUAGUCUAUUCUGCAAAUACAAGUUUUGACGCUUUACUGGACUGCCUUCUUGCAAGUGCAAAGCCAUCUCCCCAGUCUGGUGGUGUUGCAAAACAGGCCUUAUAUUCAAUAGCCCAAUGUGUGGCUGUUCUCUGCCUUGCUGCAGGUGACCAGAAAUGUUCAUCUACAGUGAAAAUGCUGACUGAGAUUCUUAAAGAUGACAGUAGUGCCAAUUCAGCUAAGCAGCACCUUGCCUUGCUAUGCCUUGGGGAGAUUGGGAGGAGGAAGGAUCUAAGCUCACAUGUGCAUAUAGAAACCAUUAUUAUCGAGUCCUUUCAAUCUCCAUUUGAAGAGAUCAAGUCUGCUGCUUCUUAUGCUCUUGGCAAUAUUGCUGUUGGUAAUCUGUCCAAGUAUCUGCCUUUUAUCUUGGAUCAGAUUGAUAAUCAGCAGAAAAAACAGUAUCUACUUCUUCAUUCUCUGAAGGAGGUGGGUUCUCUCAUUUACACUUCGUUUGGAUAGAGGGACAGGAAGGGAUGGGAAAUGAAGAGCUAUCCCUUGUUUGGGAGUUCAAUGAGGUUGGAAAAGAAAGGAUAAGGAGGGAUAAUUAUCCCUUUUAACCCCACUUUAGUUUUCCAUCAAAAUUGAGGGAAGAAGAGUUAUCCCUCUUUCAACAUUAAAAAUAUUUCAAUAAUAUGAUUAUUUUGCCCUUAAUGUUUAAAAUCCUUUCCUAUCCUUCGAAAUUUCUAAACAUGAUAUAUUGCUUAAUCUCUGGUUUCUUUUAUUUUUCUAUUCCAUGGAUUAAACAUUAUCCUUAUUUUUCCUAUUCAACAAAAACUCCCAAAUAUUUUGGAGUCAAUGGUAUGGUUUUAAAUGUUUCUCUAUUGUAAUUUCUAACCGCCUUCAUGAUGCAGGUUAUAGUAAGGCAAUCUGUGGAUAAAGCAGAGUUCCAGGAUUCUAGUGUUGAGAAGAUACUUAAACUGCUUUUUAAUCACUGUGAGAGUGAGGAGGAGGGCGUGCGAAAUGUUGUAGCUGAGUGCCUAGGGAAAAUUGCACUUAUAGAACCUGCAAAACUUGUUCCUGCACUUAAGGUGAGAACAACUAGUCCAGCUGCAUUCACCAGAGCAACAGUAGUCAUUGCUGUAAAAUAUUCUAUAGUUGAGCGUCCAGAGAAGAUAGAUGAAAUUAUAUACCCUGAGAUUUCAUCAUUUCUUCUGCUUAUCAAGGAUCAUGACCGGCAUGUUAGGCGAGCAGCUGUAUUAGCAUUAAGUACAUUUGCUCACAAUAAGCCUAAUCUUAUUAAGGGACUUCUUCCAGAAUUGUUGCCACUUCUCUAUGAUCAAACAGUGGUUAAGAAAGAAUUGAUACGAACAGUUGAUCUUGGACCCUUCAAGCAUAUUGUGGAUGAUGGACUUGAGUUGAGGAAAGCAGCUUUUGAAUGUGUAGACACAUUGUUGGAUAGUUGUCUUGAUCAAGUAAAUCCAUCAUCUUUCAUUGUUCCAUACCUCAAAUCUGGUCUUGAUGAUCAUUAUGAUGUUAAAAUGCCUUGCCAUCUUAUCCUCUCCAAACUUGCAGAUAAAUGUCCUUCUGCUGUUUUGGCAGUGCUGGACUCUUUGGUUGAUCCUCUUCAAAAGACUAUCAAUUUUAAGCCAAAGCAAGAUGCUGUCAAGCAAGAAGUAGAUCGUAAUGAAGACAUGAUUCGCAGCGCUCUUCGAGCAAUUGCUGCCUUGAAUCACAUAAGUGGAGGUGAUUGCAGCCUUAAAUUCAAAAGCCUUAUGAGUGAAAUUUCAAGAUCUCCUACACUCUGGGACAAGUACUAUUCCAUCCGUAACGAGUGAUGGGUAUGUUGAUCCUGCAAUGGAGUGGUUGUAGUCAAAUUUGUCAUACAAGGAAAAGAAAAAUAUCAAUGUUUUGAUGUUUGCUGUACAAGCUCCUCUAGGAGGAAAAAUGAAAGAACCGGGGAGAACUAUGGCCCCAGUUACAGGUGUAUAAUGGGGGAUUAAGAAUGCUAAAAUUUUGGUUGAAGAAGCUCAUAUGAAGGAUUACAUGACCAUUUCCUAUAAUGCGAACACAAGCAAUGGAUUUUUAUGUAUAGGGUCAAAAUGCUCGUCUCUUAAUAGCAUUGCUAUUGCAAGUGUUGCAUUUCCCUUUUGAGGGAAAAGGCUGCUUUACUACACAUUGGUUGUACUGCUUUAUUCAUAUGGAUGAUAGAAUCCUAAUGCAAUCUUCGAAAUUGAGACUAUUGAUUCUAGUCUUUUGAUUCUUU
This 4528-nucleotide unclassified non-coding RNA is filed under the name Hevea brasiliensis (rubber tree). The record is from RNAcentral. Lineage: Eukaryota; Viridiplantae; Streptophyta; Magnoliopsida; Malpighiales; Euphorbiaceae.